GAUGAACGCUGGCGGCGUGCCUAAUACAUGCGAGUCGAGCGAACAGACGAGGAGCUUGCUCCUCUGACGUUAGCGGCGGACGGGUGAGUAACACGUGGAUAACCUACCUAUAAGACUGGGAUAACUUCGGGAAACCGGAGCUAAUACCGGAUAAUAUAUUGAACCGCAUGGUUCAAUAGUGAAAGACGGUUUUGCUGUCACUUAUAGAUGGAUCCGCGCCGCAUUAGCUAGUUGGUAAGGUAACGGCUUACCAAGGCAACGAUGCGUAGCCGACCUGAGAGGGUGAUCGGCCACACUGGAACUGAGACACGGUCCAGACUCCUACGGGAGGCAGCAGUAGGGAAUCUUGCGCAAUGGGCGAAAGCCUGACGGAGCAACGCCGCGUGAGUGAUGAAGGUCUUCGGAUCGUAAAACUCUGUUAUUAGGGAAGAACAAAUGUGUAAGUAACUAUGCACGUCUUGACGGUACCUACUCAGAAAGCCACGGCUAACUACGUG
This 497-nucleotide ribosomal RNA is filed under the name uncultured bacterium. Its description in RNAcentral is "partial 16S ribosomal RNA". It matches the Rfam family "Bacterial small subunit ribosomal RNA", at positions 28 to 507 of the family's 1533-position model. The record is from RNAcentral.